RNAcentral lists this long non-coding RNA (611 nucleotides) under Pogona vitticeps (central bearded dragon). RNAcentral's name for it is "lncRNA (ENSPVIG00000006096.1)". Lineage: Eukaryota; Metazoa; Chordata; Lepidosauria; Squamata; Agamidae. The record is from RNAcentral.
AUGGGUGUUGGAAGUCCAAAGAUGCAUUAUGUCGUUCUUUCCUUUCAAGUCACUUCCCAUUUGAAAAAUGAACCUCAUUCUGCUCGGCCUUCAGUUGACAAAAGUAAAGACGAGAGAAGCCUGGGAGCUACUGAAGCUGAAAAGAAGGAUGUGAAAGAGCAGUACCUUAAGAAGGCCAAGAGAAGGGAGGAAAUAAUAGCCUUAUUGAGGAAACAACGGGCAGAGAGGAUUCUGAAAGAGUCCUUUUCAAAUAUGCACAAGUCGAAGAGCAAAAUUCAGGAAAGCAAGAUACAGAUACCAGAAUCGGACUUUGAGGAUAAAGAAAGUGUGAAGGCACUCAAUUGAGCAUUUUGAUCAGUGCAAAACAACAGGAGAAACUCUUACCCUGUCCUUCAUUGGUUUCCACUCUGUGAUCUUCAGACGCAGACCCCCUGCGGCUUUCCCUGUCUCACUUUCUCCUUCGAGAGCAAGACGCUGCAUGCUGGUAAAAAGCCUAGUGGACUUUUCAGUUUGGCUGUUAAAUUUCUUGGUCUGCCAUGGGUACCAUAAAAGGCAUUGUAAGAAGUGUUAAAUGCAAUAAACCGGUUUUGAAACAAAAGCCUGCGUUAUGG